GCCCGGUUAGCUCAAUCGGUAGAGCGUGAGACUCUUAUGAGUACACAACAUCUCAAGGUUGCGGGUUCGACCCCCGCAUCGGGCU
Molecule: transfer RNA, 85 nt
Filed under: Neonectria ditissima
Lineage: Eukaryota; Fungi; Ascomycota; Sordariomycetes; Hypocreales; Nectriaceae
Also listed under: 1 other name
Rfam family: tRNA
About the family: Transfer RNA (tRNA) molecules are approximately 80 nucleotides in length. Their secondary structure includes four short double-helical elements and three loops (D, anti-codon, and T loops).
Source: Rfam by way of RNAcentral